This 486-nucleotide ribosomal RNA is filed under the name uncultured bacterium. RNAcentral describes it as "partial 16S ribosomal RNA". It matches the Rfam family "Bacterial small subunit ribosomal RNA", at positions 28 to 507 of the family's 1533-position model. The record is from RNAcentral.
AUUGAACGCUGGCGGCAUGCCUUACACAUGCGAGUCGAACGGCAGCACGGGUGCUUGCCCCUGGUUGCGAGUGGCGCACGGGUGUGUAAUACAUCGGACCACGUCCUGGUGUGGGGGAUAGCCCGGCGAAAGCCGGUUUAAUACCGCAUACGCUCUGCGGAUGAAAGCGGGGGACCUUCGGCCCUCGCUCUAUAGGGUUGCCCGAUGGCGGAUUCGCUAGUUGGUGGGGUAAAGGCCUACCAAGGCGACGAUCAGUAGCUGGUCUGAGAGGACGACCAGCCACACUGGGACUGAGACACGGCCCAGACUCCUACGGGAGGCAGCAGUGGGGAAUUUUGGACAAUGGGCGAAAGCCUGAUCCAGCAAUGCCGCGUGUGUGAAGAAGGCCUUCGGGUUGUAAAGCACUUUUGGCCGGAAAGAAAGCCUGGGCCCUAAUACGGUCGGGGGAUGACGGUACCGGAAGAAUAAGCACCGGCCAACUACGUG